UGAUCUAAGUCGAGCAAAGGUAUGCUCUUAUCUGACAAGAGAAGGAGGAGUUAAUCUGCUUGAAACUGGUGCUGUCUCAGCGUCUAUACGUCGGCAACUACAUGGAAAGACCUACCAGAUGGCUCUCCUGUCUGCCUCAGAGUCUCCACCAUCUGCUAAAUCUAUCAGCACUGGAGACACAUUUCCUUCCUCACUCAGGAGGCAAAGGCAGACGGAUCUCUGUGAGUUCGAGGCCAACCUGGUCUAUAAAUCAAGUUCCAGGACAGCUAUAGCUCCAGAUGGGCAAAGAAGUUGCUACUAAGGACAUUUGUUAGUCUUCUGUCACAUAAAACUUAUUAUUCCAA
Molecule: non-coding RNA, 344 nt
Organism: Cricetulus griseus (Chinese hamster)
Lineage: Eukaryota; Metazoa; Chordata; Mammalia; Rodentia; Cricetidae
Source: RefSeq, a predicted model, not a curated record